GGAUAGAUCAGUCGGUGGAGCAUGAGAUUCUUAAUCUCAGGGUCUUGGGUUUGAAUCCCAUGUUGGGCA
Non-coding RNA from Podarcis lilfordi (Lilford's wall lizard), 69 nucleotides. NCBI's taxonomy places the organism in Eukaryota, Metazoa, Chordata, Lepidosauria, Squamata, Lacertidae. The record is from the annotation of a GenBank genome assembly.